AUUGAACGCUGGCGGCAUGCCUUACACAUGCAAGUCGAACGGCAGCACGGGAGCAAUCCUGGUGGCGAGUGGCGAACGGGUGAGUAAAGUAUCGGAACGUGCCCAGUCGUGGGGGAUAACGUAGCGAAAGUUACGCUAAUACCGCAUACGAUCUAUGGAUGAAAGCGGGGGAUCGCAAGACCUCGCGCGAUUGGAGCGGCCGAUAUCAGAUUAGGUAGAUGGUGGGGUAGAGGCUCAACAAGCCGACGAUCUGUAGCUGGUCUGAGAGGACGACCAGGCACACUGUGACUGAGACACGGCCCAGGCUCCUACGGGAGGCAGCAGUGGGGAAGUUUGGACAAUGGGCGCAAGCCUGUUACAGCCAUGCCGCGUGCAGGAUGGAGGCCUUCGGGUUGUAAACUGCUUUUGUACGGAACGAAAAGGUUUGACUUAAUACGUUGGACUCAUGACGGUACCGUAAGAAUAAGCACCGGCUAACUACGUGCCAGCCGCCGCGGUAA
Molecule: ribosomal RNA, 500 nt
Filed under: uncultured bacterium
Lineage: Bacteria
Description: partial 16S ribosomal RNA
Rfam family: Bacterial small subunit ribosomal RNA
Source: RNAcentral